UCAUUUUCACCUCUUCCUAAAAAAAAACUCAAAAAAAAUGCUCUCAAAAGCCUGCCUGUCCUCAGAGCUCUGAUCGAACUCCGAUUGUCGGGCCUUGCCGUCCUACGCCGUCUCCGCCACCGUUCACGAUGGUCGGAGUUCCCAAAAGUGAGUUUUACGCUCCUUAAAGCUUCCCAAAGCCCAAUCCGACGGUAAUAUCCCCUUUCCUUUCUAUUUUAAAAGUGCUUUUGCCUAAAAAACGAUUCAAAUCUUUGAAAUAAAAAAAUGAAAAAUAGAAAAGGGAACGAAAAGUAAUCUCUGAAAAUCACCUUAGAUCUGAUUUUUAUUACUUGUAUAUGUGUAAUAUCCGUGUCUGUUUUACACUGUUUGUCUCUAGUAUAUGCGAUCUUUGAGCCCCCAAAAAAAAACCGUCCCCUACAUCCUUUCGAUUCAGGCUUUUUAUAGCCACUAAAAAAGAAAAAGAAAAAUAAUUACAAUCUUUGAUUUAUUUCCUGCCAUAUUUGUUUCGUUUUUUUCGUUUUCUUUCCAUUUUUGCAGGUGUUCGAGGAGAGUAGACCACCGGCGUUGAUUUGCGCGUCGAUUACGGCAUAACAUGGGGCCUAGAAUCACGGCACCUACGAAGGGUAGUUGAAAUGACGAGAUUUGAAGAGGCACAACUCUUGGGGUACUUGCGGCGCGAAGCUUCUGGAAACCCUAGGGUUUCCAGAUUCUAUUUAGGCGUUGGGCCUUGUUAAUUUUGGGCCGUUGAGUUGGGUCAAGGGUGUAAUGGGUAUAGGGUAGUGGUAGGCUUACGGGGUUGUAACCGGGUUCUGGGUUAACUAGGUAUUACCUUGUAAUUGGGCCUCGAGUAGACUUAAAUUUUUGGGCUCUGUAUAUGGACUAUUUAAAACAGUAAACAUUCAUUUAUUUUUUUAUUUUUUUGUUUAAGGCCCGGGCAAAUUUAGGUUAUUACAAUAAAUUUAAUUUUUUAUUAAAGAGAUUAUUAUAUACAAUAAUUCAAAACUCGAUUUAAUAUAACUAAAAAUAUUU
Molecule: long non-coding RNA, 1029 nt
Filed under: Gossypium barbadense (sea-island cotton)
Lineage: Eukaryota; Viridiplantae; Streptophyta; Magnoliopsida; Malvales; Malvaceae
Description: long non-coding RNA (GBAR_LNC008438)
Source: RNAcentral